Non-coding RNA from Salvelinus sp. IW2-2015, 546 nucleotides. The record is from RefSeq and is a predicted model, not a curated record. Lineage: Eukaryota; Metazoa; Chordata; Actinopteri; Salmoniformes; Salmonidae.
AUGGGUGAGAAAAAACUUAUGUUUAAUACAUUUMGAAUUCAACCUGUAACACAACAAAAUGUGGAAUAAGUCAAAGUCAAUACCAUUACAGAGUCACAGAGCAUUGCUGAGAUAGCUGAGUGUGAUGUUUACCUAUAGUGCAGGGCUACACAGGUAUUUAGAGUUUCAAAUGUUACAAGGAAAUGGAGCUGGGAAAUCUGUUAAGUCGCUUAAUCAUUGAUUAACCUUCCUGAACAUUCUAAAUCCCCCAAUUGUUUUUGCCCAGUGAAUGCUUAAAUGGACAUGGACACUAGCAAACUACACUGGGGACAUCAAGAAUAUAAUCUUGGACAGUAUCAGCUCAAGCACAGAAUCCUCUCCAGACACACUCCUCUGGUGCUGCCCAUGUAUAUGAAGGAGGUGCGUAUUGCACUGGCAGAGGGGUCGAUGAGCUGGGCCUCAGGAACAUUUUAUCUUUCAAGAUAUCACCGUUUUCAAUUAGAGUUGAUUGAAAAGGGUCACGAAUAAAUGGAGGGGAAGCCAAUCUACAUGUACAUAAGCCUGAAG